UCCAGAAACUCAUACGGACUUCGACUACACCAUCAAAGCUUCGAAAAGCAAGAAGAAGGUUGGUUAGCGUUUUUGGUGUGAAAUAUGACUAGAUGUUGUGUGUAUGAUAGAGUAUAAA
Molecule: small RNA, 118 nt
Filed under: Arabidopsis thaliana (thale cress)
Lineage: Eukaryota; Viridiplantae; Streptophyta; Magnoliopsida; Brassicales; Brassicaceae
Description: ATSL040700
Source: RNAcentral